GAUGAACGCUAGCUACAGGCUUAACACAUGCAAGUCGAGGGGAAACGGCAUUGAGUGCUUGCACUCUUUGGACGUCGACCGGCGCACGGGUGAGUAACGCGUAUCCAACCUUCCCAUUACUGUGGGAUAACCUGCCGAAAGGCAGACUAAUACCGCAUAGUCUUCGAUGACGGCAUCAGAUUUGAAGUAAAGAUUUAUCGGUAAUGGAUGGGGAUGCGUCUGAUUAGCUUGUUGGCGGGGUAACGGCCCACCAAGGCUACGAUCAGUAGGGGUUCUGAGAGGAAGGUCCCCCACAUUGGAACUGAGACACGGUCCAGACUCCUACGGGCGGCAGCAGUGAGGAAUAUUGGUCAAUGGACGGAAGUCUGAACCAGCCACGUAGCGUGCAGGAUGACGGCCCUAUGGGUUGUAAACUGCUUUUGUAUGGGGAUAAAGUUAGGGACGUGUCCCUAUUUGCAGGUACCAUACGAAUAAGGACCGGCUAAUUCCGUG
RNAcentral lists this ribosomal RNA (492 nucleotides) under uncultured bacterium. Its description in RNAcentral is "partial 16S ribosomal RNA". It matches the Rfam family "Bacterial small subunit ribosomal RNA", at positions 28 to 507 of the family's 1533-position model. The record is from RNAcentral.